AAGCAAGGUCCACUUGCAGUGAAAUAAACCAGAGGUUUGAAUCAUGGCUUGAUACGAAAUUAUUGGAAAGAAUAUGGCGAUGACAUCCACAAUGCCGUUUACUGGUCAUUCCUGCCAUGAGAAGAUGAUAGAGAAUAUCACCACAGUGUGACUUGCUUCCAAGGCAGCAUGGUUUCAUGCAGAGGAUCUAAACUGGGGACCAUGUGCUGGGCUGCAAAAGGGCUGUGCAGUGCCUAAAAUGUUAUGCAAAAUUUUAUAAAGUUGGUGUUGUUUUCUUCAGUCAAGAGGUCCACAGAGCUGUCUUUCAUUCUGUAGGUUUAUCAGCAACUGAUGCUUAAAACCUAUUAGGCACUGCAAAAAAAGAGUGCACACCUUCUACUUAUUAAAAAAAAAAACAAACUGUAAAACAGCAUCAUGCAGGUUCUUCAGGAGAGAUUCCAGAGGAAGGCAUUGUUGUGGUAGAAGAUGACAGUUCCACAGGUGUUACUAGCCAUGAAGAUCUUCCAGUGAGACAAGAUGUGGAGGUGGAAGACAGUGAUAUUGAUGAUUCUGAUCCUGUUGUUAUAAAUAAAGUUUCGGUUCCACAAAAGAAA
Molecule: long non-coding RNA, 593 nt
Filed under: Homo sapiens (human)
Lineage: Eukaryota; Metazoa; Chordata; Mammalia; Primates; Hominidae
Description: long intergenic non-protein coding RNA 1919
Source: RNAcentral